This 328-nucleotide ribosomal RNA is filed under the name uncultured eukaryote. RNAcentral's name for it is "partial 18S ribosomal RNA". It matches the Rfam family "Eukaryotic small subunit ribosomal RNA", at positions 1470 to 1796 of the family's 1831-position model. The record is from RNAcentral.
CCCUUAGAUGUCCUGGGCCGCACGCACGCUACACUGAUGCAUGCAACGAGUUUAUAACCUUGGCCUGAAAGGUCUGGGUAAUCUUUUGAACGUGCAUCGUGAUAGGGAUAGAUUAUUGCAAUUGUUAAUCUUGAACGAGGAAUUCCUAGUAAACGCGAGUCAUCAGCUCGCAUUGAUUACGUCCCUGCCCUUUGUACACACCGCCCGUCGCACCUACCGAUUGAAUGGUUCGGUGAAGAUCUCGGACUUCGAUAUUUAUUCUUUAUUGAGUUUAUAUUGUGGGAAGUUAUCUAAACCUCAUCAUUUAGAGGAAGGUGAAGUCGUAACA